GAUGAACGCUGGCGGCGUGCCUAAUACAUGCAAGUCGAGCGAACGGACGAGAAGCUUGCUUCUCUGAUGUUAGCGGCGGACGGGUGAGUAACACGUGGAUAACCUACCUAUAAGACUGGGAUAACUUCGGGAAACCGGAGCUAAUACCGGAUGAUAUUUUGAACCGCAUGGUUCAAAAGUGAAAGACGGUCUUGCUGUCACUUAUAGAUGGAUCCGCGCUGCAUUAGCUAGUUGGUAAGGUAACGGCUUACCAAGGCAACGAUGCAUAGCCGACCCGAGAGGGGGAUCGGCAAAACUGAAACGAGGACACGGCCCGACCCCCUACGGGAGGCAGCGGUAGGGAAUCUUCCGCAAGGGGCGAAAGCCGGACGGAGCAACGCCGCGGGGGUGAUGAAGGUCUUCGGAUCGUAAACCUCGGUUAUAAGGGAAGAAAAUAGGUGUAGUAACUGUGCACAUCUUGACGGUACCUAAUCAGAAAGCCACGGCUAACUACGUG
Molecule: ribosomal RNA, 496 nt
Filed under: uncultured bacterium
Lineage: Bacteria
Description: partial 16S ribosomal RNA
Rfam family: Bacterial small subunit ribosomal RNA
Source: RNAcentral